GGGGACCGCAAGGCCUUGCGUCGAUGGAGCGGCCGAUGCCGGAUUAGCUAGUUGGUGAGGUAAAGGCUCACCAAGGCGACGAUCCCGUAGCUGGUCUGAGAGGACGACCCAGCCACACUGGGACUGAGACACGGCCCAGACUCCUACGGGAGGCAGCAGUGGGGAAUCUUGGACAAUGGGCGAAAGCCUGAUCCAGCAAUGCCGCGUGUGGGAAGAAGGCCUUCGGGUUGUAAACCACUUUUGGCGGGAAAGAAAUGGUCUGUGCUAAUACCACGGAUUGAUGACGGUACCCGCAGAAUAAGCACCGGCUAACUACGUG
Molecule: ribosomal RNA, 319 nt
Filed under: uncultured bacterium
Lineage: Bacteria
Description: bacterial SSU rRNA
Rfam family: Bacterial small subunit ribosomal RNA
Source: RNAcentral